RNAcentral lists this transfer RNA (72 nucleotides) under Camelus bactrianus (Bactrian camel). It matches the Rfam family "tRNA". From Rfam's summary of the family: Transfer RNA (tRNA) molecules are approximately 80 nucleotides in length. Their secondary structure includes four short double-helical elements and three loops (D, anti-codon, and T loops). Further hydrogen bonds mediate the characteristic L-shaped molecular structure. tRNAs have two regions of fundamental functional importance: the anti-codon, which is responsible for specific mRNA codon recognition, and the 3' end, to which the tRNAs corresponding amino acid is attached (by aminoacyl-tRNA synthetases). tRNAs cope with the degeneracy of the genetic code in two manners: having more than one tRNA (with a specific anti-codon) for a particular amino acid; and 'wobble' base-pairing, i.e. permitting non-standard base-pairing at the 3rd anti-codon position. The record is from Rfam by way of RNAcentral. Lineage: Eukaryota; Metazoa; Chordata; Mammalia; Artiodactyla; Camelidae. RNAcentral also lists the same sequence under 2 other names.
GAGGGUGUAGCUCAGUGGUAGAGUGCCUGCCUAGCAUGCAUGAGGUCCUGGGUUCAAUCCCCAGUACCUCCU